AUUGAACGCUGGCGGCAUGCCUUACACAUGCAAGUCGAACGGCAGCAUGAUCUUGCUUUCUAGUUUGAUGGCGAGUGUCGAACGGGUGUGUAAUACAUCGGAACGUGCCCUGUUUUGUGGGAUAACUCGUCGAUAGAUUUGCUAUUACCGCAUACGUCCUGAGGGUUAAAGUGGGUGUCCGCAUUGCCUCUUUCUCUAUUAUCUGCCGAUGUCUGAUUAGCUAGUUUGUGAGGUAAAGGCUCACCAAGGCGACGAUCAGUAGCUGGUCUGAGAGGACGAUCAGCAACACUGGGAGUGAGACACGGACCAGACUCCUACGGGAGGGAGCAGUGGGGAAUAUUGGACAAAGGGCGAAAGCAUGAUACAGCAAGGCCGAGUGUGUGAAGAAGGACUUCGGGUUGUAAAGAAGUUUUGUCGGGAAAGAAAAGGCUCAGGUUAAUAACAGGGGUGGAUGACGGUAACGGAAGAAUAAGGACCGGCUAACUACGUG
RNAcentral lists this ribosomal RNA (490 nucleotides) under uncultured bacterium. RNAcentral's name for it is "partial 16S ribosomal RNA". It matches the Rfam family "Bacterial small subunit ribosomal RNA", at positions 30 to 507 of the family's 1533-position model. The record is from RNAcentral.